RNAcentral lists this small nucleolar RNA (49 nucleotides) under Euglena gracilis. RNAcentral's name for it is "partial Eg-m42 box C/D methylation-guide snoRNA". Lineage: Eukaryota; Euglenozoa; Euglenophyceae; Euglenales; Euglenaceae. The record is from RNAcentral.
AUUUCUGUGAAUCGCCGUGUGCGCUGAGAAUUGAUAGGUCAGUCUGAGA